This 3023-nucleotide long non-coding RNA is filed under the name Capsella grandiflora. RNAcentral's name for it is "long non-coding RNA (CGRA_LNC001135)". The record is from RNAcentral. Lineage: Eukaryota; Viridiplantae; Streptophyta; Magnoliopsida; Brassicales; Brassicaceae.
CCGUCAGAAUUGCCGGAGCUUCAAAGGUGCCAAAGGAGGUAAAUGUGUGAAGCAGCCCAAACACAAACCUAUCAAAUGCUUCUGCGACUACUGCAAAGACGACUAGACUUCACAAAAAACGCCUUAAAUAGAACCACUGGUUCUAGCUUCACUCUCCAAACGCAACCACCCCUUCUCGACCUAAAUGUUUGUAAUUUCCAUAUAAAUUUUAUAAAAUGUAUCUUUGAUGUUUGUUUGUCCCAGCAUUUUCAUGUAUUCUCGGCAUCAUAAAUCAUAACAAUAUUUCCCCAGUUGCUAAAAAUAAAGGAACGUCUGUAAACAAUGUUGUCAUAAUUUUCAUGUCUUAUCAAAGAACAUGAUGAAAAGAUAAGUGACAAUCAGUAGUACGAAGGAUCAUUAUGACAAGCUAGUGUCGGAGGAGCUUAAACACAAGGCCCACAAUGUAGAAAAUACAGGAUACUUUUCAUUUUUAUAUUAAAGUAAACAACACACAUCUAAUAAAAAUAAAUAAUGGAUGGAUUUUUCAUAUGAAAUCAAACUAUUAAAAAAAUUAUUAACAAAUUUAUUAGUUUAUUUAAAUCCAAACUAAUACAUAAUUUUAUUUUAUAAAAUUUAUAUUCUAAUUAUCCAACAUAAACACAAACCUACGUAUAACUUUGUUAAUUAUGAACUUUAGAUCCUAAUUUUUUUUUAAUUUAAAACUAUAUAUAUAUAUAUAUAUAUAUAUAUCUUCGUUUCAUUAUACUUUACUCUUUAUUUAUAAAUUUAAACUGACAUAUAAUCUCCUUAAACUGUUAUAAUGGAGUUUCAUAAGAUCAGAAACGAAGUUAUAAAGAUUGAGUCUUUUAAUUUUAGGAAAAAUAAAUAAUGGAGCUUUCAGAAGACCGUAUGAAAACGUCUUCCUAGACAUAUCUAGAACGCACCAUUAUUAUUAUUAUUUUCCUUUUUGGUUUAAUAUACAUAUAAAUAUAUACAAAAAAUUUCUUAUAAAAUAAUGAAUCCCAACAAAUCAUUAUAAAACAGUAAUGGCCGUACAACCCUUAUCCAGAUUGUAGCAAUACAGGAUGCUUUUAAAUAACACGUACGUGUAUUGUUGAUAUAUGAUGCCAUGUCACGUGUGUGUGUGUGUGUGUGCGCGCCUUUACAAUUCCAAGAUGUGGUCCUGUGGACCGAGCACAAUAAAAAAGGUCAAUUUUACUCUUGCAACGUCCUUGAACGAUGCACAAUAGCUAAACACACGGUUAAAGUAGUACAAUUUAUGAAAACAUAAUCUGUCGAUUAAUAAAAAGAGUAAGAGAAUGCAAAUCUAAGUGGAACUUAAAAAAUAAAAAUUAAGAGAGAAUAAUGUCCAAUUAGAAGUUCGUUUUUGAAUUCCAAGCAAUGCAACGAUGAAGUUUCAGUCACCCAGCAUUACCAUCUUCCAUGGAAGAUAGUUGAAACCGUUUCUCCCCUCCGAGAUAUCUGAACAAAAUUAUGAAGACACAAGAUCAGAAUUCUAGAAAAUAAGCCUUACAUUACAUGAGUAAAGCAGAAGAAUCUUGAGGAGAGAAAUCUGAAAGUUUUUGUGAACUCAUGAGGGUGACGCAACGAUGAAGAACAUAUCUCUAAACAGAUUUAUAUAAGGAUCAUGAAUUUUUUUUGAAGAUGUAUCGUUUCCCAAAAGGACUUGUAGGAGGACACGAUGUCACACUGUUCUUUUUUCUUUCCGUCGACUCUUCAGUUUUGAUUUAGUUAUUUUGCUUAAUUCAGUAAUUUAUUUAAUUAUUUUGGUUAGUUUUGAUUAAUCUUAAUAAAUUUUUAAAUUACGCGUAUACGAAUAUUAUUCGGUAAAAUAACUUGUCCUUUAUAAGAUAAAAAGGAUGUUUAAACCAUAAUAGAUGGGAUGUCGAGUCCUUAAUCCGUAUAGAUCUUUAAACGCAACCGCCCCUUAUUCUCGCCGUAAAUAUAUGUUUGUAAUUUCCAUACAAAUUUAUAAAUGUAAGUUUGAUGUAAUAAUGUCGUCCCAACAUUUUCAUGUGUGUCGGCAUAAUACGUUAUCCUUUCAUAAUCAUAUGUGUUCAUUAUAUUUAAUCAUAGCAAGUUAUUUGCUAAACAUAAGACCAUCCUCAAUGGGGGUAUCUUAGAAGAUACCCCCAUCGAGGAUGCCCUAAAGGAAUUUUUGUAAACAGUUAAUGCCGUCACAGUUUUUCAUGUCUUUUAUCAAGAAUAUGAAAAGAUAAGCGAGAAUUGAUGGUACGAUAGGAUAAUUUACAUAUAGCAGACCCGGUUCUAAGCUAGUGUUGGAGGAGCUUGAACACAUGCAACGCCUAUACAAAAAAAAAUUAAUGUAUAUUAUACGGCCCAGAUUGUGGAAAUACAGGAUCAUGUAAAUUUCUUUUUAAUUAAAGUAAAUAACAUGUAUGUUGGUGAAUCACUAAUGUUGAUCUACUAUGACAGAUAUUGCGUAGAAGAUAUAUAUAUAUUCGAAGAGGGCUCUGGUCCAGCCUACUCGGUUUGUGGUGAUGACAGCUAAGAUAAUUUACAUACCCUGAUUUAACUUUUUAUCAAAGAAAAAAAAAACAGAAAAAAAAUUACGUACCUUCGUGAAAAAUGCUCUGUCUCAACCGCAAAGAUAAAUAGCACGUACCAAGGGUUGAGCAUCCAGUACCUACAACAUUACCAACUCCAAAGUGAAAGAGAGAGAGAGAGAGAGAGAGAGAGAAAAUGGCCAUGGCAACGAAGUCAGUUUCUACUCUAGUCAUCUUUUUGGUCCUGGCUCUGGCCAUCAAUGGUAAACUAACAAACUCCGUAGUAUUCUCGCAUAUUUUGUUUAACUUGAUGAUUCAUGUAUAGGAUCCAUUGUGUAUUUCUUGUAGCUAGUCAUAUAUGUGAAUUUUCAUUUGCUUAAGUAUAUGGAUGCAGUCUAUGCAGAAAUGCCAAAGACAGAAGCGAGUAAAGCCGCGUGCCUGAGAGAAUACGUCGAUGCGUCUCCAUUCUUUUGUAUGGCUAGGAUUUAUCCGUCAUUGUGUUAUUAUAAAUGCCGU